Molecule: ribosomal RNA, 492 nt
Filed under: uncultured bacterium
Lineage: Bacteria
Description: partial 16S ribosomal RNA
Rfam family: Bacterial small subunit ribosomal RNA
Source: RNAcentral
AGUGAACGCUGGCGGCAGGCCUAACACAUGCAAGUCGAACGGCAGCACAGUAAGAGCUUGCUCUUACGGGUGGCGAGUGGCGGACGGGUGAGGAAUACAUCGGAAUCUACUUUUUCGUGGGGGAUAACGUAGGGAAACUUACGCUAAUACCGCAUACGACCUACCGGUGAAAGCAGUGGAUCUUCGCACCUUGCGCGAUUGAAUGAGCCGAUGGCGGAUUAGGUAGUUGGCGGGGUAAAGGCCCACCAUGGCGACGAUCCGUAGCUGGUCUGAGAGGAUGGUCAGCCAAACUGGAACUGAAACACGGUCCAGACUCCUAAGGGAGGGAGCAGUGGGGAAUAUUGGACAAUGGGGGCAAGCCUGAUCCAGCCAUACCGCGUGGGUGAAGAAGGCCUUCGGGUUGGAAAGCCCUUUUGUUGGGAAAGAAAAGCAGCAGGUUAAUACCCCGCUGUUCUGACGGUACCCAAAGAAUAAGCACCGGCUAACUUCGUG